RNAcentral lists this transfer RNA (74 nucleotides) under Spirochaetia bacterium. RNAcentral describes it as "tRNA-Ala". It matches the Rfam family "tRNA". From Rfam's summary of the family: Transfer RNA (tRNA) molecules are approximately 80 nucleotides in length. Their secondary structure includes four short double-helical elements and three loops (D, anti-codon, and T loops). The record is from RNAcentral. Lineage: Bacteria; Pseudomonadati; Spirochaetota; Spirochaetia.
GGGGAUAUAGCUCAGUUGGCUAGAGCAUCGCGUUUGCAACGCGAGGGUCAGGGGUUCGAAUCCCCUUAUCUCCA